UUAGCGGCGAAAUCCAUGAUCCUAUGCUGCCGAGAAAAGCCUCUGGCGAGCUGGUACAUGGCCCGUACCCCAAACCGACACAGGUGGUCAGGUAGAGAAUACUAAGGCGAUCGAGAGAACUGUGGUUAAGGAACUCGGCAAAAUGCCCCCGUAACUUCGGGAGAAGGGGGACCAGUCCUGGUGACGACAUUUACUGUCUGAGCUGGGGUUGGUCGCAGAGACCAGAGAGAAGCGACUGUUUACUAAAAACACAGGUCCGUGCGAAGUCGUAAGACGAUGUAUACGGACUGACGCCUGCCCGGUGCUGGAAGGUUAAGAGGACCGGUCAGCCACUUCGGUGGCGAAGCUGAGAAUUUAAGCCCCAGUAAACGGCGGUGGUAACUAUAACCAUCCUAAGGUAGCGAAAUUCCUUGUCGGGUAAGUUCCGACCUGCACGAAUGGCGUAACGACUUCUCUGCUGUCUCAACCACAGACUCGGCGAAAUUGCAGUACGAGUAAAGAUGCUCGUUACGCGCGGCAGGACGAAAAGACCCCGGGACCUUCACUAUAGCUUGGUAUUGGUGUUCGGUUCGGUUUGUGUAGGAUAGGUGGGAGACUGUGAAACUCGCACGCCAGUGUGGGUGGAGUCAUUGUUGAAAUACCACUCUGACCGUAUUGGACAUCUAACCUCGGACCAUGAUCUGGUUCAGGGACAGUGCCUGGUGGGUAGUUUAACUGGGGCGGUUGCCUCCCAAAAAGUAACGGAGGCGCCCAAAGGUUCCCUCAGCCUGGUUGGCAAUCAGGUGUUGAGUGUAAGUGCACAAGGGAGCUUGACUGUGAGACGUACAUGUCGAGCAGGGACGAAAGUCGGGACUAGUGAUCCGGCACCGGCAAGUGGAAGCGGUGUCGCUCAACGGAUAAAAGGUACCCCGGGGAUAACAGGCUGAUCUUCCCCAAGAGUCCAUAUCGACGGGAUGGUUUGGCACCUCGAUGUCGGCUCGUCGCAUCCUGGGGCUGGAGUAGGUCCCAAGGGUUGGGCUGUUCGCCCAUUAAAGCGGCACGCGAGCUGGGUUUAGAACGUCGUGAGACAGUUCGGUCUCUAUCCGCCGCGCGCGUAAGAAACUUGAGGAAACCUGUCCCUAGUACGAGAGGACCGGGACGGACGAACCUCUGGUGUGCCAGUUGUUCCACCAGGAGCACCGCUGGUUAGCUACGUUCGGAAGGGAUAACCGCUGAAAGCAUCUAAGCGGGAAGCCUGUUCCAAGAUGAGGUUUCUCACCACCUAGCGUGGUUAAGGCCCCCCACAGACCAUGGGGUUGAUAGGCCAGAACUGUAAGCACAGCAAUGUGUUCAGGUGACUGGUACUAAUCGGCCGAGGACUUACC
Molecule: ribosomal RNA, 1364 nt
Filed under: metagenome
Description: bacterial LSU rRNA
Rfam family: Bacterial large subunit ribosomal RNA
Source: RNAcentral